This 579-nucleotide ribosomal RNA is filed under the name uncultured bacterium. RNAcentral describes it as "partial 16S ribosomal RNA". It matches the Rfam family "Bacterial small subunit ribosomal RNA", at positions 355 to 935 of the family's 1533-position model. The record is from RNAcentral.
UGGGGAAUUUUGGACAAUGGGCGAAAGCCUGAUCCAGCAAUGCCGCGUGUGUGAAGAAGGCCUUCGGGUUGUAAAGCACUUUUGUCCGGAAAGAAAUCCUUGGCUCUAAUACAGUCGGGGGAUGACGGUACCGGAAGAAUAAGCACCGGCUAACUACGUGCCAGCAGCCGCGGUAAUACGUAGGGUGCAAGCGUUAAUCGGAAUUACUGGGCGUAAAGCGUGCGCAGGCGGUUUGCUAAGACCGAUGUGAAAUCCCCGGGCUCAACCUGGGAACUGCAUUGGUGACUGGCAGGCUAGAGUAUGGCAGAGGGGGGUAGAAUUCCACGUGUAGCAGUGAAAUGCGUAGAGAUGUGGAGGAAUACCGAUGGCGAAGGCAGCCCCCUGGGCCAAUACUGACGCUCAUGCACGAAAGCGUGGGGAGCAAACAGGAUUAGAUACCCUGGUAGUCCACGCCCUAAANGAUGUCAACUAGUUGUGGGAUUCAUUCCUUAGUAACGUAGCUAACGCGUGAAGUUGACCGCCUGGGGAGUACGGUCGCAAGAUUAAAACUCAAAUGAAUUGACGGGGUCAUAGCUGUUU